GAGUGACAUGAAGGGCUGGAGCCAGGAUCCACCCCUUCCCAGGCCUCAUUGAAUGGUUGGCAGUGGAGAUGAGGGUUUCCUGCUGGAGAUCCCUGCCUACCUGAGGCCUUCCAAGGAGGGGCUGCCGUAAGAGGAUGCCUUUCACCUGGCUGAUGCUUGCCACUUCUCUUCCUCGUAUACAAAAUUUUCUAGGAUGGGUCUCUACUACUGUGGGCUGAAGCAUGCCAGAAAACAGCUAGGGAAUUUCAUUGGACUUUGUAAAAGAGAGGCCUACUUUGUCAUGAACUUGCAGUCCUGGGAUACUGGAGCUUUCUUAUGGAACAUAAAACCAUUGUUUUGUUUUGUUUUGUUUUUUUUCUUUAACCACAUGGUUGGUUCAUUAGGAAGAUCUCAGGUGCUGUCUAUCUCCAUUGAUUUUUAUUGGGUCCAUUAGCAUAGAUCUGUUGAAGAUCUGUCCCAUAGAGCACAAAUAUCCUGUCUAAUGCACAAUUCAGGAUAAGAAAACUGAGGUAAGAUGAGCAAAUUAAAGGGGAAGAUAGUUCCAUCCUAUUAGAAAGAAACAGAGACAUGUGACAUUGAAGCAGGAGUGUCCUUAGAGAGUGUAUGCAAGUUACAGAUGUAGAAAGGGACAAGGUAAGGAGACAAUUUCUGUGGUCUUUACCUCUGUUAGCAGCAUACAGUAUGGCAGACUACAAAAAGUAUUUCAAGUUUCCCAGUUGUGUAAUCCUCAUGGGAUAUGAGCUUGUAGCUUUAGCAAAGCUCUUGUUGUACCAGAUGUUGAAAGCUGAACAGAUGAAAAGACAGUCUGUAAACAAUAGCUAGCCUAGACAAAAGAAUUUUUAUUUGACUUGAAGACUUUGCAAGUAAAGGUCACAUGGGGGCUAGUUCUGCUAAUCCUAGACCAAAAAUUUAAAAGAGAGAUGAAUUAAUCACUGAAAUCAUUUCUCAUAUCAGGAUAGUCUUUGUGAAAAGCUAAAGUAACUAGAAGUUAGAACCUUACUAAUAAAUGUAGUCUUACAGCAGCAAUUAGCUGUAAUUUUUUCUCUUAGAUUAUAGAAUGUAUAUUUCAGAUCCUCUCUGAUCUAGUUGGAAUAAUCCUAAAUUUGGGCCCACUUCUAUAGAUGUCUAAUUAGAAAUGUACAUGUCUCUUUUCUCAUAAAUCUGUAUCCAGCACAGUGAAUGUUAACACUUCAGACAGCCAUCUGUGUAUUUAAAAGCUAAGCAAAAAGGUUUCGCUUAAUGUAUUUAUCCUUUGGGUCUAGAAUCUUCAUUUUGUGUGUAUGUGGUCUCAUGAACAAAGGGUUUGAAUCAUUCAGGUGCCACUGUACUAGAAAUAAUUAAUAUUUAGAGGGUGAGCAUGGUUUGUCCUCUCAUAAAUUGAUUUAAUCUUCAUAUCCUGAUUGCCUAGAGUGGCUCACUUCAGCAACCUUGCAGAAUCUGCUGUGGGUUUGAUUUAUUCUGCAGCAUCCUUAUACACUUUUAAUCCUUACAGCUUUCAUUUUGUACAUAUGGAAUGAAUUACAGAUUUAAUACCCUAUUGAUAUCAGGGAAAGAUAAUUAAUUUUCUGAUGUUUAAAAUAAAGGAAAUCAUAUUUUCAAGUAUUUUCGGUCUCACUAAUUCUCACUGAAGUAUAAUUUCCACUGCAAAUAUAAAUCUUGUAUGCUUAAAAUUUGACUGAUAUUUAUCAUCUGCUGCUUUCUAGAUACAUAUAUUGUAGGUGUAGUGAACAUGUUUGUAAGUAGAGUAAGAGAAUAGUUCUGUACUGGUUUACAUGGGCUUACUAACAUGAAGCCCUAAAACCUGAAAAAUUGAAUGAUAUGAUCCUGUAAACUUUUAAAACUAAUUUUAAGAACAUAUAAUACCAAUCCUAAUGUAGUAAUGGUCUAAUAGCAUAGCUGCCAGUGUUGUUAUUGUCUACAUUAUAUCUUUAGUAGAUGUAUUUCUUAAGACCAUAUAUGUAUUAGAACUAUUUUCAAAUAGCUAUACACAAAGCUUUUAUAUUUUUAUGGAGAAGUGCAUAUGUUUUUAAAUAAAGACAGAAAACACUGCUUAUGCAGUGA
This is a non-coding RNA of Meleagris gallopavo (turkey), 2061 nucleotides long. NCBI's taxonomy places the organism in Eukaryota, Metazoa, Chordata, Aves, Galliformes, Phasianidae. The record is from RefSeq and is a predicted model, not a curated record.